CCAGCACCCGCGGUAAUUCCAGCUCCAAUAGCGUAUAUUAAAGUUGCUGCAGUUAAAAAGCUCGUAGUUGGAUUUCUGGCUUGAUACAGUUUACCGGCCACGGUUUCGUGUGUUAGUGUUUGCUGUUCUGGCCAUCCUUCCAAUCGCUGCUCACUUUUCUUCAUUGAUUGGUGAGUGGUAUUGGAUCUUUUACUUUGAAAAAAUUAGAGUGUUUCAAGCAGGCUUUAUGCUAUGAAUACAUUAGCAUGGAAUAAUAAUUUAGGACUUCGGUUCUAUUUUGUUGGUUUCUAGGACUGAAGUAAUGAUUGAUAGGGAUAGUUGGGGGUGCUAGUAUUCAGCGGCCAGAGGUG
Molecule: ribosomal RNA, 350 nt
Filed under: uncultured eukaryote
Lineage: Eukaryota
Description: SSU rRNA
Rfam family: Eukaryotic small subunit ribosomal RNA
Source: RNAcentral